AGAGCAUUGCUAUAUGCUAGCGGCUAACACGACCUCAACCUGGAGCUGGACUUUAUCUUUCAGAUGGGCCGCACACAUGGAUACACGGAGGGCCUAAUAAGAAGGGUAUAUGAUAGAAUAAAACAACGUACACCCGGCGAGGAGAAAAUGAAAAGAGCGGAUGACACCACCUAUCAAGCUGUGCCGUAUACGAUGAAAAGCUCGAAUGUAACGAAGAAAAUAGCGCAAAAAACAGGCAAGAGGUUAACGUACAAGCGAUGCGCCACCGUGUAUACUAGACUCCGUUGUGACAAAGAUAAGCUAAAAGAAGAGCAGCGAGCUGGGGUAUAUCAGAUCCCCAUU
This 342-nucleotide long non-coding RNA is filed under the name Androctonus crassicauda. The record is from RNAcentral. Lineage: Eukaryota; Metazoa; Arthropoda; Arachnida; Scorpiones; Buthidae.